RNAcentral lists this ribosomal RNA (468 nucleotides) under uncultured bacterium. RNAcentral describes it as "partial 16S ribosomal RNA". It matches the Rfam family "Bacterial small subunit ribosomal RNA", at positions 28 to 507 of the family's 1533-position model. The record is from RNAcentral.
GACGAACGCUGGCGGCGGGCUUAACACAUGCAAGUCGAACGGAAAGGCCCUGCUUUUGUGGGGUGCUCGAGUGGCGAACGGGUGAGUAACACGUGAGUAACCUGCCCUUGACUUUGGGAUAACUUCAGGAAACUGGGGCUAAUACCGGAUAGGAGCUCCUGCUGCAUGGUGGGGGUUGGAAAGUUUCGGCGGUUGGGGAUGGACUCGCGGCUUAUCAGCUUGUUGGUGGGGUAGUGGCUUACCAAGGCUUUGACGGGUAGCCGGCCUGAGAGGGUGACCGGCCACAUGGGGACUGAGAUACGGCCCAGACUCCUACGGGAGGCAGCAGUGGGGAAUAUUGCACAAUGGGCGGAAGCCUGAUGCAGCAACGCCGCGUGCGGGAUGACGGCCUUCGGGUUGUAAACCGCUUUCGCCUGUGACGAAGCGUGAGUGACGGUAAUGGGUAAAGAAGCACCGGCUAACUACGUG